UUUAUUUACUGGGGGAGCCGAGUGGCUGAGACAGUCUUUUGCUGAACCCUUUGUACCUGAUCUGGAUGAUGCCAGCGGAGGGAAGUAUGCUUACAUAGUU
This 100-nucleotide non-coding RNA is filed under the name Jeotgalibacillus malaysiensis. Its description in RNAcentral is "TPP sequence". It matches the Rfam family "TPP riboswitch aptamer (THI element)". Rfam says of the family: Vitamin B(1) in its active form thiamin pyrophosphate (TPP) is an essential coenzyme that is synthesised by coupling of pyrimidine and thiazole moieties in bacteria. The previously detected thiamin-regulatory element, thi box was extended, resulting in a new, highly conserved RNA secondary structure, the THI element, which is widely distributed in eubacteria and also occurs in some archaea. Analysis of operon structures identified a large number of new candidate thiamin-regulated genes, mostly transporters, in various prokaryotic organisms. Lineage: Bacteria; Bacillati; Bacillota; Bacilli; Caryophanales; Caryophanaceae. The record is from RNAcentral.